GUCAGAAUGGCUAAGAUCAAAAGCACAAGUGAUAUCUCAUGCUGGAACAAGAGGAUGUGGAACGAGAAGAAUACUCUUCCACUGCUGUUUAUCCUGCUUACAAGAUAUGCUGGAGUAAUGGAGUCACAGAACUUGGAAUGUAGAAUGACGACAUGGAAGCCGGAGGAAUUAUGUUAUCAUACACAGUGAAGA
Non-coding RNA from Myodes glareolus (Bank vole), 192 nucleotides. Lineage: Eukaryota; Metazoa; Chordata; Mammalia; Rodentia; Cricetidae. The record is from RefSeq and is a predicted model, not a curated record.